ACACGACUACAUUAGAUACCCCGGUAGUCCCAGCCGUAAACUAUGCUCGCUAGGUGUCAGGGACGGUGCGACCGUUUCUGGUGCCGCAGGGAAGCCGUGAAGCGAGCCACCUGGGAAGUACGGUCGCAAGGCUGAAACUUAAAGGAAUUGGCGGGGGAGCACUACAACGGGUGGAGCCUGCGGUUUAAUUGGAUUCAACGCCGGAAAUCUUACCGGGACCGACAGCAACAUGAAGGCCAAGCUGAAGACUUUGCCGGAUUAGCUG
Molecule: ribosomal RNA, 265 nt
Filed under: uncultured archaeon
Lineage: Archaea
Description: partial 16S ribosomal RNA
Rfam family: Archaeal small subunit ribosomal RNA
Source: RNAcentral